GACGAACGCUGGCGGCGUGCUUAACACAUGCAAGUCGAACGGAAAGGCCCUGCUUUUGUGGGGUGCUCGAGUGGCGAACGGGUGAGUAACACGUGAGUAACCUGCCCUUGACUUUGGGAUAACUUCAGGAAACUGGGGCUAAUACCCGACAUGAGCUCCUGCUGCACGGUGGUGGUUGGAAAGUUUCGGCGGUUGGGGAUGGACUCGCGGGUUAUCAGCUUGUUUGGGGGGUAGUGGCGUACCAAGGCUUUGACGGGUAGCCGGCCUGAGAGGGUGACCGGCCACAUUGGGCCUGAGAUAGGGCCCAGAAUGCAACGGGAGGCAGCGGUGGGAAAUAUUGCACAGUGGGCGGAAGCGUGAUGCAGCGAUGCCGCGUGCGGGAUGACGGCCUUCGGGUUGUAAACCGCUUUCGCCUGUGACGAAGCGUGAGUGACGGUAAUGGGUAAAGAAGCACCGGCUAACUACGUG
RNAcentral lists this ribosomal RNA (468 nucleotides) under uncultured bacterium. RNAcentral describes it as "partial 16S ribosomal RNA". It matches the Rfam family "Bacterial small subunit ribosomal RNA", at positions 28 to 507 of the family's 1533-position model. The record is from RNAcentral.